AUUGAACGCUGGCGGCAUGCCUUACACAUGCAAGUCGAACGGCAGCACGGGAGCAAUCCUGGUGGCGAGUGGCGAACGGGUGAGUAAUACAUCGGAACGUGCCCAGUAGUGGGGGAUAACCCGGCGAAAGCCGGACUAAUACCGCAUACGACCUACGGGUGAAAGCAGGGGAUCGCAAGACCUUGCGCUAUCGGAGCGGCCGAUGUCAGAUUAGCUAGUUGGUAGGGAAAGCCUACCAAGGCAACGAUCUGUAGCUGGUCUGAGAGGACGACCAGCCACACUGGGACUGAGACACGGCCAGACUCCUACGGGAGGCAGCAGUGGGGAAUUUUGGACAAUGGGCGCAAGCCUGAUCCAGCCAUGCCGCGUGCGGGAAGAAGGCU
This 383-nucleotide ribosomal RNA is filed under the name uncultured bacterium. RNAcentral's name for it is "bacterial SSU rRNA". It matches the Rfam family "Bacterial small subunit ribosomal RNA", at positions 29 to 416 of the family's 1533-position model. The record is from RNAcentral.